Molecule: ribosomal RNA, 726 nt
Filed under: uncultured bacterium
Lineage: Bacteria
Description: bacterial SSU rRNA
Rfam family: Bacterial small subunit ribosomal RNA
Source: RNAcentral
ACAGGAUUAGAUACCCUGGUAGUCCACGCCGUAAACGAUGUCGACUUGGAGGCUGUUUCCUUGAGAAGUGGCUUCCGGAGCUAACGCGUUAAGUCGACCGCCUGGGGAGUACGGUCGCAAGGUUAAAACUCAAAUGAAUUGACGGGGGCCCGCACAAGCGGUGGAGCAUGUGGUUUAAUUCGAUGCAACGCGAAGAACCUUACCUACUCUUGACAUCCACGGAAUUUGGCAGAGAUGCCUUAGUGCCUUCGGGAACCGUGAGACAGGUGCUGCAUGGCUGUCGUCAGCUCGUGUUGUGAAAUGUUGGGUUAAGUCCCGCAACGAGCGCAACCCUUAUCCUUUGUUGCCAGCGAUUCGGUCGGGAACUCAAAGGAGACUGCCGGUGAUAAACCGGAGGAAGGUGGGGAUGACGUCAAGUCAUCAUGGCCCUUACGAGUAGGGCUACACACGUGCUACAAUGGCGCAUACAAAGAGAAGCGACCUCGCGAGAGCAAGCGGACCUCAUAAAGUGCGUCGUAGUCCGGAUCGGAGUCUGCAACUCGACUCCGUGAAGUCGGAAUCGCUAGUAAUCGUGGAUCAGAAUGCCACGGUGAAUACGUUCCCGGGCCUUGUACACACCGCCCGUCACACCAUGGGAGUGGGUUGCAAAAGAAGUAGGUAGCUUAACCUUCGGGAGGGCGCUUACCACUUUGUGAUUCAUGACUGGGGUGAAGUCGUAACAAGGUA